GUGAUGCCCAGCUUGCUGGGUGGAUCAGUGGCGAACGGGUGAGUAACACGUGAGCAACCUGCCCCCUACUUCGGGAUAAGCCUUGGAAACGGGGUCUAAUACCGGAUAUGAGCACUCACUGCAUGGUGGGUGUUGGAAAGUUUUUCGGUGGGGGAUGGGCUCGCGGCCUAUCAGCUUGUUGGUGGGGUAAUGGCCUACCAAGGCGUCGACGGGUAGCCGGCCUGAGAGGGCGACCGGCCACACUGGGACUGAGACACGGCCCAGACUCCUACGGGAGGCAGCAGUGGGGAAUAUUGCACAAUGGGCGAAAGCCUGAUGCAGCGACGCCGCGUGAGGGAUGACGGCCUUCGGGUUGUAAACCUCUUUCAGCAGGGAAGAAGCGCAAGUGACGGUACCUGCAGAAGAAGCGCCGGCUAACUACGUGCCAGCAGCCGCGGUAAUACGUAGGGCGCAAGCGUUGUCCGGAAUUAUUGGGCGUAAAGAGCUCGUAGGCGGUCUGUCGCGUCUGGUGUGAAAUCCCAUGGCUCAACUGUGGGCUUGCAUCGGGUACGGGCAGACUAGAGUGCUGUAGGGGAGACUGGAAUUCCUGGUGUAGCGGUGGAAUGCGCAGAUAUCAGGAGGAACACCGAUGGCGAAGGCAGGUCUCUGGGCAGUUACUGACGCUGAGGAGCGAAAGCAUGGGGAGCGAACAGGAUUAGAUACCCUGGUAGUCCAUGCCGUAAACGUUGGGCACUAGGUGUGGGGCCAGUUCCACUGGUUCUGUGCCGC
RNAcentral lists this ribosomal RNA (768 nucleotides) under bacterium. RNAcentral describes it as "bacterial SSU rRNA". It matches the Rfam family "Bacterial small subunit ribosomal RNA", at positions 68 to 849 of the family's 1533-position model. The record is from RNAcentral.